This 253-nucleotide ribosomal RNA is filed under the name uncultured bacterium. Its description in RNAcentral is "partial 16S ribosomal RNA". It matches the Rfam family "Bacterial small subunit ribosomal RNA", at positions 524 to 776 of the family's 1533-position model. The record is from RNAcentral.
GACGUAGGGCGCGAGCGUUGUCCGGAUUUAUUGGGCGUAAAGGGUGCGUAGGCGGUCGGGUAAGUCUGGCGUGAAAUCUCCAAGCCUAACUUGGAAACUGCGUUGGAUACUAUCCGGCUCGAGGAAUGGAGGGGAGACUGGAAUACUUGGUGUAGCAGUGAAAUGCGUAGAUAUCAAGUGGAACACCAGUGGCGAAGGCGAGUCUCUGGACAUUUCCUGACGCUGAGGCACGAAAGCCAGGGGAGCAAACGGG